UACAGAGGUCUCAAGCGUUGUUCGGAUUCAUUGGGCGUAAAGGGCUCGUAGGCGGUCCAUCGCGUCGGGAGUGAAAAGCUGGGGCUUAACCCCAGUCCUGCUUCCGAUACGGGUGGACUAGAGGUAGGUAGGGGAGAACGGAAUUCCUGGUGUAGCGGUGAAAUGCGCAGAUAUCAGGAGGAACACCGGUGGCGAAGGCGGUUCUCUGGGCCUUACCUGACGCUGAGGAGCGAAAGCAUGGGGAGCAAACAGG
Molecule: ribosomal RNA, 253 nt
Filed under: uncultured bacterium
Lineage: Bacteria
Description: partial 16S ribosomal RNA
Rfam family: Bacterial small subunit ribosomal RNA
Source: RNAcentral